GUCUACCGCCAAGCUACCCUGAACAAGCCUAAUCCUGUCUGACCUUGGAAGUUAAGCAGGGUCGGGCCUGGUUAGUACUUGGAUGGGAGGACCACCUAGGAAGACCAGGUGCUGUAGGUG
Molecule: ribosomal RNA, 120 nt
Filed under: Pteropus alecto (black flying fox)
Lineage: Eukaryota; Metazoa; Chordata; Mammalia; Chiroptera; Pteropodidae
Source: RNAcentral